This 875-nucleotide ribosomal RNA is filed under the name uncultured euryarchaeote. RNAcentral describes it as "bacterial SSU rRNA". It matches the Rfam family "Archaeal small subunit ribosomal RNA", at positions 21 to 904 of the family's 1478-position model. The record is from RNAcentral. Lineage: Archaea; Methanobacteriati; Methanobacteriota.
AGUCACUGCUAUUGGGAUUCGACUAAGCCAUGCGAGUCGAGAGGGUUCGACCCUCGGCAAACGGCUCAGUAACACGCGGAUAAUCUGCCCUUAGGUGGAGGAUAACCUCGGGAAACUGAGAAUAAUACUCCAUAGAUCUAGGAUGCUGGAAUGCACUUAGAUUGAAAGUUCCGGCGCCUAAGGAUGAGUCUGCGGACUAUCAGGUAGUAGUCAGGGUAAAGGCCUGACUAGCCUACGACGGGUACGGGUUGUGAGAGCAAUAACCCGGAGACGAUAUCUGAGACACGAUAUCGGGCCCUACGGGGCGCAGCAGGCGCGAAACCUUCACAAUGUGCGAAAGCGCGAUGAGGGGAUCCCAAGUGCUUGCUCGUAAGAGUAAGCUGUUUUUAUGUCUAAAACGCAUAGAGAGUAAGGGCUGGGUAAGACGGGUGCCAGCCGCCGCGGUAAUACCUGCAGCUCAAGUGGUGACCGCUAUAUUGGGCCUAAAACAUUCGUAGCCGGUUUGGUAAAUGCCUGGGUAAAUCGUGUAGCUUAACUAUACGAAUUCCGGGUAGACUGCCAACUUGAGACCGGGAGAAGCUAGAGGUACUCCUUGGGUAGAGGUGAAAUUCUGUAAUCCUAGGGGGACCACCAGUGGCGAAGGCGUCUAGCUAGAACGGGUUUGACGGUGAGGAAUGAAGCCCUGGGGCGCAAACCGGAUUAGAUACCCGGGUAGUCCAGGGUGUAAACGCUGCUUGCUUGAUGUUAGUUGGGCUCCGAGCCCAAUUAGUGUCGGAGAGAAGUUGUUAAGCAAGCUGCCUGGGAAGUACGAUCGCAAGAUUGAAACUUAAAGGAAUUGGCGGGGGAGCACAGCAACGGGUGGAGCGUGCGGUUUA